GACGAACGCUGGCGGCGUGCCUAAUACAUGCAAGUCGAACGCUGAAGGAGGAGCUUGCUCUUCUGGAUGAGUUGCGAACGGGUGAGAAACGCGUAGGUAACCUGCCUGGUAGCGGGGGAUAACUCUUGGAAACGAUAGCUAAUACCGCAUAAGAGUAGAUGUUGCAUGACAUUUGCUUAAAAGGUGCAAUUGCAUCACUACCAGUUGGACCUGCGGUGUAUUAGCUAGUUGGUGGUGUAACGGCUCAACAAGGCGACGAUUCCUAGCCGACCUGGGAGGGGGAUCGGCCACACUGGGACUGAGACACGGCCCAGACUUCUUAGGGAAGCAGCAAGAGGGAAUCUUCGGCAAUUGGCGGAAGGCUGAACGAGCAACGCCGCGGGAGGGAAGAAGGGUUUCGGGUCGGAAAGAUCCGUUGUAAGGGAAGAAAGAGUGUGGGAGUGGAAAGUGCACACCGUGACGGUAUCUAACCAGAAAGGGACGGCUAACUACGUG
Molecule: ribosomal RNA, 495 nt
Filed under: uncultured bacterium
Lineage: Bacteria
Description: partial 16S ribosomal RNA
Rfam family: Bacterial small subunit ribosomal RNA
Source: RNAcentral